RNAcentral lists this long non-coding RNA (1074 nucleotides) under Apteryx haastii (Great spotted kiwi). Its description in RNAcentral is "lncRNA (ENSAHAG00000002983.1)". Lineage: Eukaryota; Metazoa; Chordata; Aves; Apterygiformes; Apterygidae. The record is from RNAcentral.
UGGAUGUGCAAAAGGCCCUGGCCAAGGGCAGGGGAGCGUUUGUUUCAUCUCCCGCUUCGCCCUGGUUCCUGCGAACAUUGCUGGAGGUCAUCAAGAGCGAGGCCUGGACCGUGGACCUGAGCCGGGAGCUGAGCUGGCAGCUGGGCAGCUCUCCCCGCCUGUCCUGGGAGAAGGUUUGUUCCCUGCGUGGCAUCGCUGCCGCUUGCAUGCCCCAAGGGCUGUGGCAGUGGAGCCACGGGAGGCUCGGGCCAGGGCGAGGGCUGAUGGUGGCGCUCUGCCCCGUGGGCUGGUUUCCCUGCUGCCCACUCUCUUUUCCCAAGAAGGUGCUCGCACUCCCCUCCAUGCUGAGCUGGCAGCAGGGCCAGGCUGGCUGCCAGCUGCUGUUGCGGCUGGUACCACGGGUGCCUCGGUGGGUGCCUGCACGGUGGGGCCACCAUGGCCUGGCCCUCUCCUGCCAGGCUGGGCUGUCACCACAGCUGGGGCUCGGCCUCUUCUCUUGCAGUGGUUCCUGUACAAGGCUCUCAGCACGGCCCUGGCAGCUUGUGGGUGUCUCUGCCACGUGCGAGAGCAGACCCUGAAACAUCUGAAAGCAGCCAGCUUCCUGGAGCUGUGGGAGGCACAGGGAAUGGUUUCAGUUGUGUCCUGCUGUGCCGAGAGCCACUUCCAGCUGGUCUUGUCCUCGGUGAAGGAGUUCACGGGGACUUUGAAACACCAGAAGGUAAAGAGCCUGUGGUGGUGUUGUGGGGAGCUGCCGGGAGGUGUGCAGGGAGCUGCGCCACCGGUCGGGCAUGGGGCAGCUCUUGCCUCGGGAGCACGCAGAGUCCCGGGCAGAGUGGGCUGACGUCUCGGUGCUUCUCUGGCCAACCCCCAGCAGAGUGACAUGGUGAGGACUUGUGCUGCUUGUGCUGCGCUGUUGGUGACAUACGGCAGGAUGGUGCUGUGCACCCCCAGGGAGCAGCUGCUCGCCCAUGUUGCAAGAUACAUCGUGGGGAACGUCCUGCAGCUCUACUGAGAGGGUUGCCAGGUAGGUGCUCGGGGCACAGGGCAGAGCCGGCCGGGUGCCGCCAGCUCCGG